GAUGAACGCUGGCGGCGUGCCUAACACAUGCAAGUCGAACGGAAGGGCCCUGCUUUUGUGGGGUUCUCGAUUGCCGAAGGCGUGAGUAUCACGUGUGUAACCUGCCCUUGUCUUUGGGAUAACUUCAGGAAACUCGGGCUCAUACCCGAUAUGAUCUCCUGCUGCGUGGUGGGGGUUGGAAAGUUUCGGCGGUUGUGGAUGGACUCGCGGCUUAUCAGCUUGUUGGUGGGGUUGUGGCAUACCAAGGCUUUGACGGGUAGGCGGCCUUAGAGGGUGACCGGCCACAAUAGGACUGAGAUACGCCGCAGUCGCGUACGGGGGGCAGCGGGGGAAAGUAUGACACAGUGGGCGGGAGCGUGAGACAGCAACCCCGGGUGCGUAAUGACGGCCUUCGGGGUGUAAACCGCUGUCGCCUGAGACGAAGCGUGAGUGACGGUAACUAAUAAAGAAGCACCGGCUAACUACGUG
Molecule: ribosomal RNA, 468 nt
Filed under: uncultured bacterium
Lineage: Bacteria
Description: partial 16S ribosomal RNA
Rfam family: Bacterial small subunit ribosomal RNA
Source: RNAcentral